RNAcentral lists this small nuclear RNA (23 nucleotides) under Arabidopsis thaliana (thale cress). RNAcentral describes it as "snRNA_00768". The record is from RNAcentral. Lineage: Eukaryota; Viridiplantae; Streptophyta; Magnoliopsida; Brassicales; Brassicaceae.
AGCCAGAGGAAACUCUGGUGGAA